GGGAUUGCCUCAGUAACGGCGAGUGAAGCGGCAACAGCUCAAAUUUGAAAUCUGGCUCUUUCAGAGUCCGAAUUGUAAUUUGUAGAGGGUGCUUUGGCGUUGGCCGUGGUCUAAGUUCCUUGGAACAGGACGUCACAGAGGGUGAGAAUCCCGUACGUGGCCGCCGGUCUUCGCCGUGUAAAGCCCCUUCGACGAGUCGAGUUGUUUGGGAAUGCAGCUCUAAAUGGGAGAUAAAUUUCUUCUAAAGCUAAAUAUUGGCCAGAGACCGAUAGCGCACAAGUAGAGUGAUCGAAAGAUGAAAAGCACUUUGGAAAGAGAGUCAAAAAGCACGUGAAAUUGUUGAAAGGGAAGCGCUUGCAGCCAGACGUGCCCGCAGUUGCUCACCUAGGCUUUCGCCUGGGGCACUCUUCUGCGGGCAGGCCAGCAUCAGUUCGGGCGGUUGGAUAAAGGUCUCUAUCACGUAUCUUCCUUCGGGAAGACCUUAUAGGGGAGACGCAACACGGCCAGCCUGAACUGAGGACCGCGCAUUCGCUAGGAUGCUGGCGUAAUGGCUGUAAGCGGCCCGUCUUGAAACACGGACCAAGGAGUCUAACAUCUAUGCGAGUGUUUGGGUGUCAAGCCCGGACGCGCAAUGAAAGUGAACGGAGGUGGGAACCUUUCGGGGUGCACCAUCGACCGAUCCUGAAGUCUUCGGAUGGAUUUGAGUAAGAGCAUAGCUGUUGGGACCCGAAAGAUGGUGAACUAUGCCUGAAUAGGGUGAAGCCAGGGGAAACCCUGGUGGAGGCUCGCAGCGGUUCUGACGUGCAAAUCGAUCGUCAAAUUUGGGCAUAGGGCGAAAGACUAAUCGAAC
RNAcentral lists this ribosomal RNA (850 nucleotides) under Roussoella nitidula. RNAcentral's name for it is "eukaryotic LSU rRNA". It matches the Rfam family "Eukaryotic large subunit ribosomal RNA", at positions 71 to 940 of the family's 3401-position model. The record is from RNAcentral. Lineage: Eukaryota; Fungi; Ascomycota; Dothideomycetes; Pleosporales; Thyridariaceae.